Molecule: long non-coding RNA, 338 nt
Filed under: Parus major (Great Tit)
Lineage: Eukaryota; Metazoa; Chordata; Aves; Passeriformes; Paridae
Description: lncRNA (ENSPMJG00000001328.1)
Source: RNAcentral
GGGUCCCAGGAGAUCAUUUAUAACUCUUUAAUAAGGAAAAGCUCCAUGGUUUUGUUCAGAUUGCUAAUCAUAUUUCAAACCAGAACCACCUGCUGAAGACCUGCAGAAACAAAAGUAGAAGAAUUCUUAAUGUCCUAAUUUGAGAGGAGGUUAUAGCACAAUAUUAUUAAGAUCAAACUGCCUCAUGCUUGAAAUCAAGAACAAACCACUCUGCCAAAAAAGGGGAAACUCUUGCAGCCCAGCAGUGAUGAAUCUUGAUGUUCUCAGCUGCUAAACAGACCUGAGCAUUGGCCCAGAGAGAAACAGUCUCAGUAACCACUGCUUUUCCAGCAGCAGCU